This is a long non-coding RNA of Coregonus clupeaformis (lake whitefish), 2158 nucleotides long. RefSeq lists it as uncharacterized. NCBI's taxonomy places the organism in Eukaryota, Metazoa, Chordata, Actinopteri, Salmoniformes, Salmonidae. The transcript is spliced from 5 exons. The record is from RefSeq and is a predicted model, not a curated record.
ACUAGCUAACCUUAGUUCUCUCCCGAAGAAAGGAUGGUUCUGUUCUAUGUACCGGAUUGUAACCACUACUCCGAUAAGCACACGUGCUUUUUAUAAUUUUCCGACCUCUGUGUUGUUGUUUUUAUUGCACUGCUUUGCUUUAUUUGGCCAGGUCGCAGUUGUAAACGAGAACAUGUUCUCAACUGGCUUACCUGGUUAAAUAAAGGUAAAAAAAUAAAUUAAAAAAAGAGGCGUCGCUGGAGUCAUGUGAUAAGUCUUUCAGGCAGGCGGACCAGAAACCCAGUGACAACACUCAGGUCUGCAGCAGCCAUUUUCCGUUGGGAAAGAGAAAUGGCCCUGUUUUUACCAGAAAAGGUAGCUUAAACACCAUGGCAGAAGAGGAAGACUGUUGAUUGGGAAACAAGAACAAAUAAUUAGGCAUGAGGAUUGGGUGUUGAGGGACCACUUGUCACAUUGUCCAAGUCCAACAGGAGUGCACCCCUCAGACCAUCUGGUGCAUGGACAUCCUGUGCCAGUGUGAUAACAUCCUGUGCCAGUGUGAUCCGAACGCAAGCGUCCAGUUGUAGAGACUACAGCAGAUCGAGCCUGUGAACGGACAGACAUGAGGUGUGACAUGCAGAACAUCAGGCUCACUCCACGAGAAGCAGUGUAUGAUCAACGCCACCCUAAGCAAGGAGAUCUGCUGGAAGUGAUGUACUCUCUCACUCUGGGGGUACUGACAGGAGGAGCAAUAUGAGUCUGUCAGAGGUCAUCACGCUGGAUGGGGAUGGAGGCUUUGGUGGUCAACACAACGAAGAAGCAGGUGUCUCUUCUAGUGAUGUGGAGCUGACCUUGGACCUGGUGCCAGUAACGAUGGUCUUCACAGAGGCUGUAAGACUCUCCCUCCUUGAUAUAGAAAUCCUUCGACUUCACUGCCUCUUCAAUGGUAAGGUCCCUUGCACCAUAGGGACACUUGAACUCCACCACUGCUGUGGUGCCCACCAUCCGGUGAGGCACCCAGCAUCCCAGACCCCGUGAUCCAAAGCCCUGACUCCUGCACAUCCAUCCCUGUAGCCAUUUUGAAUGCCUUGAUACCCACCUCUUCGUUAUCUGUGCCCCACUUUACAGACAACACCUCAUCCAACGACUGUGAUCUGAGGACCCUUUUUAGCAGUGAUGGAGUAACAUGCUUGGCCCUAACCACUGCUCCAUAAUUGCUGGCCGUCAACCACUCUCUCCUCGUGGGGCGACAGGUAGCUUAGUGGUUAAGAGCGUUGUGCCAGUAAUCGAAAGGUUGCUGGUUCUAAUCCCCGAGCCGACUAGGUGAAAAAUCUGUCGAUGUGCCCUUGAGCAAGGCACUUAACCCUAAUUGCUCCUGUAAGUCGCUCUGGAUAAGAGCGUCUGCUAAAUAAAACAUAAAAAAAAAAAAUGGUGUGCUAGUUGGGGUUGUUGCACUGUCCAACUGUUUUUUAAAAUAUUUUUGCCUACCGUAUAGCCUCCUGCUGCUCCACCAACAGCACCAUGCCAGCCUGCAUGCCCCAGGUGCCCUUGUUUUUUAACAAUGUCCGGUACAGACAGGGAUGACAAAGAGGGUAGCGGUUGUUCUGCCUCAGGUUCAAAGAGACAUGCCAUUUCACUGAACCUGCCCGGAGACGGUUCCUUAGCCACUGAAGAUCCUCCUUUGUGGGCUCUCAGGAGAGAGGGUUGUAGUCUUCUGCCAGGUACAGGUCCUCCACUGACUGCACCUGGUUGGGUACGGCUGGCUUCCUCCACUCGCAUUCCACAUCCGUACGGCUGAUAUUGUGAACCGCCAAAAUAGGCUGCAUGGCUACACUUAUGAGCUCCACAGAGGCAUUCGCAUGUGGUAGAGAGAAUCCCCUGGUCACCUAUAGAGAUCUGCCAAAAGGAAGGAUGUUAAGUGCCACAUGCCUUUCAAUGCAUGACUUUGAACACCUUGAAAUGCAUUAGUUGUAAGAAAUGUGCUAUAUAAAUAAAGAUUGAUGACAUUUCAGCUGUAGAAUAUUUAAUAAACUGUGAUUUUCACAUGAGGACAAGUACAAUUUUUCCGUAAACUUUUAAUUGAUAACUUAGGAAUUUAUCACUUGACAUUUCAACCAUAUAGCAGGAAGGAUCCUAUAAAUGAAGACUUUGUGAAUGCAUGUACCACUCCGAAUAAAAU